ACACUGACGUCGCGACGCAUAUCAAUAAGCGGAGGAAAAGAAACUAACAAGGAUUCCCUUAGUAACGGCGAGUGAAGCGGGAAGAGCUCAAAUUUGAAAUCUUCAAGGUUCUACCUUGACGAAUUGUAGUUUAAAGAAGUGUUUUCUGUUAGAUGAGUAGCAAAAGUUCCUUGGAAUAGGGACAUCAUAGAGGGUGAGAAUCCCGUAUUUGGUCUAUUCCUUCUAGCUUUGUGAUACACUUUCAAAGAGUCGGAUUGUUUGGGAAUGCAGUCCAAAAUGGGUGGUAAAUUUCAUCUAAAGCUAAAUAUUGGCGAGAGACCGAUAGCGAACAAGUACCGUGAGGGAAAGAUGAAAAGAACUUUGAAAAGAGAGUUAAACAGUACGUGAAAUUGUCAAAAGGGAAGCGUUUGACACCAGUGUUGUUUUUCCGAAAAUCAAUUAUAGAUGUUUUGUUUCUGAGGAGUGAUGACUUCAUCGGCUUCCUUCUCUCUUCACGAAACUUUUGUAAUGCACUUUUCGGUUAACAAGUCAACAUCAAUUUCUUUUGUUGUAAAAGAGUAUUCGGAAGGUGGCUUUCUUUUCGGAGAAAGUGUUUAUAGCCCUAUACUUCUACAAUCGGAGAGAUUGAGGUCUGCAGCGUAGAUCCUUCGGGGUUAGAUACAUUUGUGCUAAGUUAUAGCUUUUCAUAGACAACUUGUUGACUAUGUUUAGUCUUGUAGCUUACUCGCUUGUGCUAUUUUACCUACGCUUAGGAUGUUGAGUCGUAGAGCACGCAG
This 776-nucleotide ribosomal RNA is filed under the name uncultured Neocallimastigales. Its description in RNAcentral is "partial large subunit ribosomal RNA". It matches the Rfam family "Eukaryotic large subunit ribosomal RNA", at positions 25 to 628 of the family's 3401-position model. Lineage: Eukaryota; Fungi; Neocallimastigomycota; Neocallimastigomycetes; Neocallimastigales. The record is from RNAcentral.